This is an RNA transcript of Rhinopithecus roxellana (golden snub-nosed monkey), 1672 nucleotides long. It is a transcript of the gene named protein FAM204A pseudogene, with no coding region annotated. NCBI's taxonomy places the organism in Eukaryota, Metazoa, Chordata, Mammalia, Primates, Cercopithecidae. The record is from RefSeq and is a predicted model, not a curated record. The transcript has a single exon.
GCUUUCUCAGCCAUUUGUAAAAUGUAGAUCCAGAGUAGGGGAUGAGGGUGAGAAAUAUGGAAUAACAAUGCAUAACAUUUUAAAUAAUGUUUUACUAUCUAUAAAACACUUCACAUAGGAUUGGGGGAGGAAACUAUGCCAAGAGAUAUCAUUUUAUUAUGAGAAGUGAAUAUCCUCACAUCCCGUUAAAAUUCCUCAGUGCAAUUCCUAUACCGAUAGGAUAAAAUCUAAACUCCUUUGUAAGGCAUACAAUGCUUUUUAUGAUAUGAUUCCUGUCUACAUUGUCGAGCUCCUUUCCAGUCUCUUCCCUCUGCCUAAUUUCACUUUCUGGCCUGAGGACCACAAAUUCUCUCAUUCCUGCAAGCUUUUCCAUGUAGAGUUCCUUGGCUUGGGCAAUGUCUACUCAUUCUUCAUGUUUCAGUGCAAAUACGACCUUCUCUGUGAAUCCUUCCUUCACUUCCCCAUAUAGAGCCUGGCUCCCAGUCUUGCCAACAUCUCUGCUUAUACUGUGUACUCACUCCACCAAUUCUAUUUUAAUUGUUUAAAUGCCUAGUGUUUCUUCUCAUUAGAAAAUAAAGACCAUGGCUGCCGGGCAACUGCUUCCUGACAGCUCCAGUUAAUGGGACUGCCAGCAGGCUAGACAUCCUUUGCCAGAAACUGCAGCGCUUAGUUCUGUGCCCAGUUCUGUGCCUGAGAGGGGAUUCUGCCUGUUUUGGGAUUGGAGUGGGGCAUUGCCGCCAGAAAACCUGCAGAAUUCCGGGUUGUGCAGCCAAGCAGGAACAGGUGUACUUUACUAGACCCAUCCUCUUGCAAUCUUGGACCUUAAGGAAAGAUGUGGAGUGGGCUGCUACCUCCUGGCCUAAAUGAAAGUGAUGCUGAGUCAAACUCUGAAGAUGAAGUUACGUUGGAGAACUCUGGACUUACCUUACAGGAAGAUAAACAGGAUGAGAGUCUCAGAAAAACAGAAAUCAUAGGUUUCUCAACAGAUGAACCAAAAACUGAAACAGAGUCAAAUGUAAAUGCCUAUGAAAAGUGUCCUUCUGGAAUUCCCAUAGACAUGUGGAAUACAUUUCAAGAAUUGCAUAAAAAACAUUCUGAACAGAAAAGCACAACCUCAAGAUUCAGAGGGAAAAAAAGAAAACGCUCCAGAAAAGAUAAAUUGAAGAAUGAAAAAGAAUCUCAUAGUGAACCAUCCUCAAAUGAAACCCAAUGGAAGGAGCUUACUCAGUAUUUUGGAGUCAAUGAUAGAUCUGACCUGCCUGUUAAAAGGAAAAAAGUUGAGAAGUCAGGCCUUGAAAAAGAGAAUAGACCAGGCUGUGGAGGAGUGGAAUAUUGAGAAGGCUGAGGAACUUAGCAACCAGCUAGCUACUCGAGAGCUUGGUAUAAAAAUUGCCAAAGCAGUUGCCUGCCACAACUUUGUAAAAGCCAAAAAGGAGGUUGAAAAUUCACAGGCUGCCCGAAAAAUGAAGAAACUCACAUGGGGGUUUGAAGCAAAGAAGAGAUGGGAAACCAAAAGCAACAUGGGAUACACGUAACUUGCCAGAGUGCUUCAAGACAUUUGUAGACUCGGAUGCUCAAUUUACUGAGAAUGUUUUCCUGCCUACGUUAAUAUGUCAGAAAAUUGAUAGCACUAAAACAAGAAUAAGCAUAAAAUUUGGGAUUUUGAUUAUCA